RNAcentral lists this long non-coding RNA (340 nucleotides) under Elaeis guineensis (African oil palm). RNAcentral describes it as "long non-coding RNA (EGUI_LNC070869)". The record is from RNAcentral. Lineage: Eukaryota; Viridiplantae; Streptophyta; Magnoliopsida; Arecales; Arecaceae.
UUCUCAGUAUUAAUUUUGGACUCAGAUUCUUCUAUUGGGUUAGCCUCAGUACUAACUUCUUUUUCUAAAUUUUCAUUUUGGCUAGCAUCAGUACUAGCCUCUCUCACCUGGUCUGAAUAUGGGUCCUUAAGAAUCUUAUUACUUCUAAGCUCAAAAAUUAUAUUAUCAUUUUCAAAUUGAGAAUUUUUAGGUGGGAUAUUAGAUUGAUAACUAGGUCCAGGUGGUUGGUGGAUGGGUGGGUCAUUUUCAAAAUUCAGUAUUGGUUUGUUUGGCAAUUGACCUAGUUCUCUCCUCAUGGUAGAUUCAGUUAAUUGAUCUAUUUGUGCUUCUAGCCUAGCGA